This 378-nucleotide ribosomal RNA is filed under the name uncultured eukaryote. RNAcentral describes it as "partial 18S ribosomal RNA". It matches the Rfam family "Eukaryotic small subunit ribosomal RNA", at positions 592 to 977 of the family's 1831-position model. The record is from RNAcentral.
CAAUAGCGUAUAUUUAAGUUGCUGCAGUUAAAAAGCUCGUAGUUGGAUUUCGGGUGGGAAUGGCCGGUCCGCCGUUUCGGUGUGCACUUGCUACGCCCACCUUGCUGCCGGGGACGUGCUCUUGAGUUCACGCUCGGGACACGGAGUCGGCGAGGUUACUUUGAGUAAAUUAGAGUGUUCAAAGCAGGCCUACGCUCUGAAUACAUUAGCAUGGAAUAACACGAUAGGACUCUGGCCUAUCUUGUUGGUCUGUAGGACCGGAGUAAUGAUUAAGAGGGACAGUCGGGGGCAUUCGUAUUUCAUUGUCAGAGGUGAAAUUCUUGGAUUUAUGAAAGACGAACUACUGCGAAAGCAUUUGCCAAGGAUGUUUUCAUUAAA